AUUGAACGCUGGCGGCAUGCCUUACACAUGCAAGUCGAACGGUAGCAGGUCUUCGGAUGCUGACGAGUGGCGAACGGGUGAGUAAUACAUCGGAACGUGCCCGAUCGUGGGGGAUAACGAAGCGAAAGCUUUGCUAAUACCGCAUAAGAUCUAAGGAUGAAAGCAGGGGACCGCAAGGCCUUGCGCGAACGGAGCGGCCGAUGGCAGAUUAGGUAGUUGGUGGGAUAAAAGCUUACCAAGCCGACGAUCUGUAGCUGGUCUGAGAGGACGACCAGCCACACUGGGACUGAGACACGGCCCAGACUCCUACGGGAGGCAGCAGUGGGGAAUUUUGGACAAUGGGCGAAAGCCUGAUCCAGCCAUGCCGCGUGCAGGAUGAAGGCCUUCGGGUUGUAAACUGCUUUUGUACGGAACGAAAAGACUCUUUCUAAUAAAGAGGGUCCAUGACGGUACCGUAAGAAUAAGCACCGGCUAACUACGUGCCAGCCGCCGCGGUAA
This 498-nucleotide ribosomal RNA is filed under the name uncultured bacterium. RNAcentral describes it as "partial 16S ribosomal RNA". It matches the Rfam family "Bacterial small subunit ribosomal RNA", at positions 30 to 523 of the family's 1533-position model. The record is from RNAcentral.